This 490-nucleotide ribosomal RNA is filed under the name uncultured bacterium. RNAcentral's name for it is "partial 16S ribosomal RNA". It matches the Rfam family "Bacterial small subunit ribosomal RNA", at positions 28 to 507 of the family's 1533-position model. The record is from RNAcentral.
GAUGAACGCUAGCUACAGGCUUAACACAUGCAAGUCGCGGGGCAGCAUGGGGGUUGCUUGCAAUCCCCGAUGGCGACCGGCGCACGGGUGAGUAACGCGUAUCCAACCUGCCCUUCACCACGGGAUAACCCGGCGAAAGUCGGACUAAUACCGUAUGUUGUCCAUUGACGGCAUCCGAUUUGGACGAAAGGUUUGGCGGUGAAGGAUGGGGAUGCGUCCGAUUAGCUGGACGGCGGGGUGACGGCCCACCGUGGCGGCGAUCGGUAGGGGGUCGGAGAGGAAGGUCCCCCACACUGGAACUGAGACACGGGCCAGACUCCUACGGGAGGCAGCAGUGAGGAAUAUUGGUCAAUGGGCGUAAGCCUGAACCAGCCAAGUAGCGUGCAGGAUGACGGCCCUAUGGGUUGUAAACUGCUUUUAUGCGGGGAUAAAGUGGCCCACGUGUGGGUUUUUGCAGGUACCGCAUGAAUAAGGACCGGCUAAUUCCGUG